RNAcentral lists this ribosomal RNA (244 nucleotides) under uncultured bacterium. RNAcentral describes it as "partial 16S ribosomal RNA". It matches the Rfam family "Bacterial small subunit ribosomal RNA", at positions 796 to 1041 of the family's 1533-position model. The record is from RNAcentral.
UACGCCCUAAACGAUGAUCUCUCGGUUUUCGGAGUAUCGACCCUCUGAGAGCCUAAGCUAACGCGAUAAGAGAUCCGCCUGGGAAGUACGGCCGCAAGGCUAAAACUCAAAGGAAUAGACGGGGACCUGCACAAGCAGUGGAUUAUGUGGUUUAAUUCGACAGUAAACGAAACACCUCACCAGGAUUUGAAACUCACGUGAAAUCCGUAGAAAUACGGCCCCCGCAAGGCACGUGGACAGGUGA